RNAcentral lists this ribosomal RNA (424 nucleotides) under uncultured Bacteroidota bacterium. RNAcentral's name for it is "bacterial SSU rRNA". It matches the Rfam family "Bacterial small subunit ribosomal RNA", at positions 355 to 776 of the family's 1533-position model. The record is from RNAcentral. RNAcentral also lists the same sequence under 1 other name. Lineage: Bacteria; Pseudomonadati; Bacteroidota.
UGAGGAAUAUUGGGCAAUGGGCGCAAGCCUGACCCAGCCAUGCCGCGUGAAGGAUGAAUGCCCUAUGGGUUGUAAACUUCUUUUGUACGGGACGAAACUCCUGGUCGUGACCGGGAUUGACUGUACCGUGCGAAUAAGCAUCGGCUAACUCCGUGCCAGCAGCCGCGGUAAUACGGAGGAUGCAAGCGUUAUCCGGAUUCAUUGGGUUUAAAGGGUGCGUAGGCGGAAUAAUAAGUCAGUGGUGAAAGCCUGCGGCUUAACCGUAGAAUUGCCAUUGAUACUGUUAUUCUUGAGUAUAGUUGAGGUGGGCGGAAUGUGUAAUGUAGCGGUGAAAUGCUUAGAUAUUACACAGAACACCAAUUGCGAAGGCAGCUCACUAAGCUGUUACUGACGCUGAGGCACGAAAGCGUGGGGAGCAAACAGG